CCGCCGCCGCGGCCGCCGAAGUUCCGGCGAGGAGCGCCGGCCUCGCCCACCUUAUCUCUCAUUCUUUUGACUCAAUUUGGGCAUUCACAAACUCACACCACCGCCCAAUUUCUCAAUCUCCGGUGAACGGCAGUGAGGCCGCCGCCACUCUCCCUCAAAAUCUCACUUAAGCACCGCCUCAAUCUGAAAAGGUUCCAGCCGCCACCACCGCCUGUAUCUCAAGAGGCGGCGCCGCUCUCUCCUCUAAACCCUAGAUCCCUAAUUCCUCCGUCUGAAACCCUAGGGCCCCAGAUCUAGACUCCACCCUCUCCGGCCUCUGGCAUCAAUAGCAGCUCCUCGCCGCCGUGCCUGGACUUCCUUGAUCCCGAGUCAUACGGCGGCUAAGGGUCACCGGCGACACACUCUUUAAUUUUUAUGAAGCAGGAUUAAGUUUAUUUAGCCACAUCAGCCUCCAGAUUGGAGUCACCAAGCUUUAAGCUGCUCGGUAUCAUGUCUGUCAUUUAUGUGGGGAUACUAUUAACAGUUGCAAGAGAGGCAGAAUUUGAGUUUUGGGGUUUCAUAUUCGUUAUGCUUGCUGCUGUCAUGUCUGGGUUUCGGUGGACAAUGACACAAAUACUUCUCCAGAAAGAAACCUAUGGUCUUAAAAAUCCACUUACUUUGAUGAGCUAUGUGACCCCUAUAAUGGCAAUUGCAACUGGUGUUCUUUCUUUGAUGCUGGAUCCAUGGCACGAAUUGAGAAAGAACGAUUACUUUAAUAGCUCAUCGCAUAUUCUGAGAAGUAGUUUGCUAAUGUUGUUUGGUGGCACUCUGGCUUUCUUCAUGGUAUUAACAGAAUAUGUUCUUGUGUCUGUAACAAGUGCAGUAACAGUUACAAUAGCAGGGGUUGUGAAGGAAGCUGUUACUGAGCUACUUUUGUUUGAUUUUAAGUCAAAGCUUCUGUACGGUGUAUAUGAAGCAACUUCUGAUGGAGGUCUUAACUUGGAACCUACUGCUUUUGGAGGGAAAUUCCCUGCUCAGGUAAAAUUCAAAAUUUUCAAGGAAUGUCUUCCAAUUCCUGAGAGUUCCCUUAGGUAUGUUAUAAAGGAGAACUAUACAGGUGCAAAAUUUAAGCAAGAACUCAAUGUAAAGCAAGUAAGUUGUCUCUUCCAUAUCCACUGGAGUUCAAUUUAUUUGGAUCUGUACAUUGUCAUUAUUUUUUUUGUUGUGUAUGCUAAAGAAGAAACUUAUCAAUGGAAGCAGGUGACAAAAUUGAUAUCAGCUUUUAGUCCUUUGGCUGCAUCUAUAUGAUAGAAAUUGGGGGAUAUUGAGCAUGUUACUAUGUGUUGAGCCAAUUUUGAUUUAUGAAUAAGGGAAGAACGACUUUUAGUAUUGAGUGGAGAACUUGUGGUGAUUGGUUGUGUUAUAACUUGCUUUCUUGGUGUUGAUGAGUUAAAUAUGAUUUAAAUUUCAAGCUAAAGCAUGUUAAUGUGUAGUAAGAUGAUGUAUUUGAGAUAUUAUAGCUUUUAUUUGGCCAAAAUAUGAGUUAUAUGUUGAGUUUCAACAGAAACUGUAUUGCUGUCAAGUUUGGCUGGACAAACCAAUGUCUUGUGAGGGAUUUUCGAGAGUGUUCCUAUUGUCCAAAUAACUUGAAAUUUUUACUGUAAUAACUUCAGCAUGAGUAGGAGGUUUCUGUAAAAUUUCAGCUAAAUUGGACACCGUUAGAUAUGUCAAACAAUUUUCUUAAAAGUACUGCGCGAAGCAGCAAGGUUCUGUGGCAGAUUCUGCAUUUUGUGAGAUAAUUUCUUAUACACUUGAGAAGAUAUUGUAUUUUUGUAACUUUCUAAUAAAGAUAGACUUUAAUAGCUUUCUUAAAAGGUAAAGCUUGCAUUUUUCUUUGAAAAUGUUGAUUUUAUAUGAUUUUUCAAAGUUGAGAUAAUGAUUUUUCAAAGUUGAGAUUCAUGUUUCUUACUUGAGAAAGUUAUGAAUAGAAUUAUGCUAAGUAAUUGAUGUUUCAGUUAUUCCCUUCUUCAUUCCCUCGGACUAUAUUCAACUAUACGGUAUAUAUGUAACGUUGUGAGAGAGAGCAGAGUUGAAAUAUCUCUUUCAUAUUUCUUUUAUUUAAGAAGCUCGGGUUGGCUAUGUUUUGCAGGUGAACUCGCUCGUGUUGGUGCAUGUUCAAUAUUGUGAUUGAGUUUAUCAUCUUGGCGGAUCAAGUAGAUGGGAGUCGAUGAGCUAUGAGGACUACUACAAACGAGAAGGCUGCAGCAGAGAACGUCGUUUCAAAUGUCUAGCAAGUUGCGCGCAUUUGUAAUAUUUUUUAAUUAAACAUCUAGCUAAAUAGAAUAUAUGUGAAGUUUUCAUUAUAUUUGGAUGAUAAUGUAUGAAUAUUUUGGAUGAUAUAUAAUAUUGUUAUUGUUGAUUU
RNA transcript from Salvia miltiorrhiza (redroot sage), 2401 nucleotides. It is a transcript of the gene named probable sugar phosphate/phosphate translocator At1g06470, with no coding region annotated. Lineage: Eukaryota; Viridiplantae; Streptophyta; Magnoliopsida; Lamiales; Lamiaceae. The record is from RefSeq and is a predicted model, not a curated record. The transcript is spliced from 8 exons.